RNAcentral lists this ribosomal RNA (253 nucleotides) under uncultured bacterium. RNAcentral's name for it is "partial 16S ribosomal RNA". It matches the Rfam family "Bacterial small subunit ribosomal RNA", at positions 524 to 776 of the family's 1533-position model. The record is from RNAcentral.
UACGUAGGGGGCUAGCGUUGUCCGGAUUUAUUGGGCGUAAAGAGCGUGUAGGCGGCCAGGUAGGUCUGCUGUGAAAACUCGAGGCUCAACCUCGAGACGUCGGCGGAAACCAUCUGGCUAGAGUCCGGAAGAGGAGAGUGGAAUUCCUGGUGUAGCGGUGAAAUGCGCAGAUAUCAGGAAGAACACCCGUGGCGAAGGCGGCUCUCUGGGACGGUACUGACGCUGAGACGCGAAAGCGUGGGGAGCGAAUAGG